AGCAGCCGCGGUAAUACCGGCGGCCCGAGUGGCGGUCACUAUUAUUGGGCUUAAAGCGUCCGUAGCCGGGUUGGGAAGUCCUCCGGGAAAUCUGGCCGCUUAACGGUCAGAAUGCCGGGGGAUACUCCCAGCCUAGGGAGCGGGAGAGGCCGAGGGUAUUCCCGGAGUAGGGGUGAAAUCCUAUAAUCCCGGGAGGACCACCUGUGGCGAAGGCGCUCGGCUGGAACGCGUCCGACGGUGAGGGACGAAGGCCAGGGGAGCAAACCGGAUUAGAUACCCGGGUAGUCCUGGCUGUAAACGAUGCGGACUUUGUGUCGGACAAGCUAUGAGCUUGUCCGGUGCCGGAGGGAAACCGUUAAGUCCGCCGCCUGGGGAGUACGGCCGCAAGGCUGAAACUUAAAGGAAUUGGCGGG
RNAcentral lists this ribosomal RNA (413 nucleotides) under uncultured microorganism. RNAcentral describes it as "bacterial SSU rRNA". It matches the Rfam family "Archaeal small subunit ribosomal RNA", at positions 460 to 872 of the family's 1478-position model. The record is from RNAcentral.